This 243-nucleotide ribosomal RNA is filed under the name uncultured bacterium. RNAcentral describes it as "partial 16S ribosomal RNA". It matches the Rfam family "Bacterial small subunit ribosomal RNA", at positions 15 to 254 of the family's 1533-position model. The record is from RNAcentral.
GAUCAUGGCUCAGAUUGAACGCUGGCGGCAGGCUUAACACAUGCAAGUCGAACGGUAACAUAAAGAAGCUUGCUUCUUUGAUGACGAGUGGCGGACGGGUGAGUAAUGCUUGGGAAUCUAGCUUAUGGAGGGGGAUAACUACGGGAAACUGUAGCUAAUACCGCGUAAUAUCGAAAGAUUAAAGUGUGGGACCUUCGGGCCACAUGCCAUAAGAUGAGCCCAAGUGGGAUUAGGUAGUUGGCG